This is a long non-coding RNA of Selaginella moellendorffii, 976 nucleotides long. RefSeq lists it as uncharacterized. The transcript is spliced from 3 exons. The record is from RefSeq and is a predicted model, not a curated record. NCBI's taxonomy places the organism in Eukaryota, Viridiplantae, Streptophyta, Lycopodiopsida, Selaginellales, Selaginellaceae.
UUCUCACUCUUCAAUUGUUCUGUCAACUCUUCGAUUUCAGUGCCCACAGCCUGGAUGGAAUGCUCAAGCUCCUGAAGCAAAGAGUCGACAUCCAAGGACGCCAUCUUUCUUAGGAAAUAGUCUAUGGGUGAUGAAGUCCUCAGGCUCUCCAGCACCUUAGGAUGUGAGCAUAGCCGGCAAGGAAGAACCAAGUGAUGUAUUUCGUCGGCUUCCACAGGAGGAAAGCUGGCAGCGUGUCCUUGAAUCAGGUAUUUUCUUCGGCCGUGAAAAUCAUCUUGCAGGGACACUCUGUGGCUUUGAAUCUUCGGUUUGAUCGCAGCCUUGUGGAGCUCUAUCUCCACACCGAGGAGCUGAGUGUGCAGCUAUAGGCUCUCACGAGGAUUUGUUCCAUAGGUGGCCAUGACAAGGAAAAGAAAGCAGCGUUUACCACCACCAGCGAUGAAAUGCUGGAGACGCUCAAUGCCUUCCCGAAGGGAGCUGACUUGUUGCUCAUAAGUGUUUGCUCGGAUAUAUGAGCUAUAUGUGCAUAUACUGUGCUGAUCUAAAGGACCCGCACGGAGAGUUUAUUCUGGAGAAAGCAUCAAGGCCACGGCAAUCUCAGACAGCCAUGAAAAGUAGCUAGAAGGUCCAGAUUUAUUUUCAUCACGUCCUAGACUUCUGUGUGAAAUGUCCAUCCUCUAGGUCUGGGCUGGCGUUAAUACUCCUGUUUUCUUGGUGGACGUAUCAUCCCAAAUACUGCAUACAUGACAACAGUUGGAAGUCCUAAAGCAUCAAGAGAUGUGUGAGUUUGCCCGGUAGUCUGAACAAGUCAGAUGUUCCAAUCAUCUUGGUGGGGUCUCGCUGCUCCAAACGGAGUUAUCUUACCCCUGUUUGGGCUUCCAUGUAGACUGUCUCGUCACCUGACAUUGAGCCAUUGAAAUGCAGAGCUCAAGGCCCACGUCUUUGGAAGCUUUAGUAGGACUUCCAACUGUUAUCU